Molecule: ribosomal RNA, 466 nt
Filed under: uncultured bacterium
Lineage: Bacteria
Description: bacterial SSU rRNA
Rfam family: Bacterial small subunit ribosomal RNA
Source: RNAcentral
GCCAGACUCCUACGGGAGGCAGCAGUGAGGAAUAUUGGUCAAUGGCCGAAGGGCUGAACCAGCCAAGCCGCGUGAAGGAAUAAGGCCCUACGGGUCGUAAACUUCUUUAGUCAGGGAACAAAGGGAGCCACGCGUGGCGCUGUGAGUGUACCUGAAGAAUAAGCAUCGGCUAACUACGUGCCAGCAGCCGCGGUAAUACGUAGGGGGCGAGCGUUAUCCGGAUUUACUGGGUGUAAAGGGAGCGUAGACGGUUCUGCAAGUCUGAAGUGAAAGCCCGUGGCUUAACCGCGGAACGGCUUUGGAAACUGUGGAACUGGAGUGCUGGAGAGGCAAGCGGAAUUCCUAGUGUAGCGGUGAAAUGCGUAGAUAUUAGGAGGAACACCAGUGGCGAAGGCGGCUUGCUGGACAGUAACUGACGUUGAGGCUCGAAAGCGUGGGGAGCAAACAGGAUUAGAUACCCCAGUAA